Molecule: long non-coding RNA, 388 nt
Organism: Oreochromis niloticus (Nile tilapia)
Lineage: Eukaryota; Metazoa; Chordata; Actinopteri; Cichliformes; Cichlidae
Exons: 2
Source: RefSeq, a predicted model, not a curated record
UAGAACUUUCUGCGGAUCAGUUUGAUUAACUUUCAACUUCAUCCAUUACAGGUGCAGCAGAGGCCUUUGGUAAAGCCAAGAAACUACUACAGCCUCAAGUAAAGAAAAGGCAAUUUCCAUUGAAUGAUAAACGUUUGGACCAUGGCAAAUCAUUAUUGAAGGUCAGAAUGGCUCCCAUGGAGUGGAAACCAAGAACUCCGAGAAGGUGUGGACGGUACCAGAAGUUAAUAAUGGACGAAGCUCCACCUCGAAUCAUCCUGCAAGGCCAUGAAACCUAUGAUGAUUUAAUUACCAUAGCCAAAGAACGCUUCUGGCCAGAGCGUACUGAGGGGAGUGAGUUCACUCUUUGUCAUUCUGACGGGACCAGGUGGAGUAAGGAGGAUUUCCA